UCACCAGACUCCUACGGGAGGCAGCAGUGGGGAAUAUUGCACAAUGGGGGGAACCCUGACGCAGCGACGCCGCGUGGGUGAAGGAGCACCUCGGUGCGUAAAGCCCUAUCGGCAGGGAAGAAACAGGCGGUACCUGACUAAGAAACCCCGGCUAACUACGUGCCAGCCGCCGCGGGAAUACGUAGGGGGCAAGCGUUAUCCGGAUUCACUGGGUGUAAAGGGAGCGUAGACGGCGACGCAAGUCUGGAGUGAAAGCCCGGGGCCCAACCCCGGGACUGCUCUGGAAACUGCGGCGCUGGAGUACGGGAGGGGCAGGCGGAAUUCCUGGUGUAGCGGUGAAAUGCAUAGAUAUCACGCAGAACUCCGAUUGCGAAGGCAGCAUACCGGCGCCCAACUGACGCUGAAGCACGAAAGCGUGGGUAUCGAACAGGAUUAGAUACCCGGGUAC
This 448-nucleotide ribosomal RNA is filed under the name uncultured bacterium. RNAcentral describes it as "bacterial SSU rRNA". It matches the Rfam family "Bacterial small subunit ribosomal RNA", at positions 328 to 793 of the family's 1533-position model. The record is from RNAcentral.